RNAcentral lists this ribosomal RNA (799 nucleotides) under uncultured Glomus. Its description in RNAcentral is "SSU rRNA". It matches the Rfam family "Eukaryotic small subunit ribosomal RNA", at positions 314 to 1114 of the family's 1831-position model. Lineage: Eukaryota; Fungi; Glomeromycota; Glomeromycetes; Glomerales; Glomeraceae. The record is from RNAcentral.
AUCAACUUUCGAUGGUAGGAUAGAGGCCUACCAUGGUGGUAACGGGUAACGGGGUGUUAGGGCACGACACCGGAGAGGGAGCCUGAGAAACGGCUACCACAUCCAAGGAUGGCAGCAGGCGCGCAAAUUACCCAAUCCCGACACGGGGAGGUAGUGACAAUAAAUAACAAUACGGGGUUCUUUCGGAUCUCGUAAUUGGAAUGAGUACAAUUUAAAUCUCUUAACGAGGAACAAUUGGAGGGCAAGUCUGGUGCCAGCAGCCGCGGUAAUUCCAGCUCCAAUAGCGUAUAUUAAAGUUGUUGCAGUUAAAAAGCUCGUAGUUGAAUUUCGGGGUUAAUAAGUUGGUCGUGCCAAUGGUAUGUACUGGCUUUAUUGAUUCCUACUUCUUGAAGAACUGUGAUGCCAUUAAUUUGGUGUUGCAGGGAAUCAGGACUGUUACCUUGAAAAAAUUAGAGUGUUUAAAGCAGGCUUACGCUUGAAUACAUUAGCAUGGAAUAAUGAAAUAGGACGUUUGAACCUAUUUUGUUGGUUUCUAGGAUCGACGUAAUGAUUAAUAGGGAUAGUUGGGGGCAUUAGUAUUCAAUUGUCAGAGGUGAAAUUCUUGGAUUUAUUGAAGACUAACUACUGCGAAAGCAUUUGCCAAGGAUGUUUUCAUUAAUCAAGAACGAAAGUUAGGGGAUCGAAGACGAUCAGAUACCGUCGUAGUCUUAACCAUAAACUAUGCCGACUAGGGAUCGGAUGAUGUUAAUUUUCUAAUGACUCAUUCGGCGCCUUACGGGAAACCAAAGUGUUUGGGUUC